This is a small nucleolar RNA of Magnolia sinica, 90 nucleotides long. RefSeq annotates it as small nucleolar RNA SNORD96 family. The record is from RefSeq and is a predicted model, not a curated record. NCBI's taxonomy places the organism in Eukaryota, Viridiplantae, Streptophyta, Magnoliopsida, Magnoliales, Magnoliaceae. The transcript has a single exon.
UGGCCAGUGAUGAUAUCCGUUUACCAAAAUACCAUCUUUCAGGAUUGAAUGGCAUUGAAUCCUUGCUGUUCUUCCGCAAUUUUGAGGCCU